This 511-nucleotide unclassified non-coding RNA is filed under the name uncultured Glomus. Its description in RNAcentral is "SSU rRNA". It matches the Rfam family "Eukaryotic small subunit ribosomal RNA", at positions 569 to 1077 of the family's 1831-position model. Lineage: Eukaryota; Fungi; Glomeromycota; Glomeromycetes; Glomerales; Glomeraceae. The record is from RNAcentral.
AGCAGCCGCGGUAAUUCCAGCUCCAAUAGCGUAUAUUAAAGUUGUUGCAGUUAAAAGCUCGUAGUUGAAUUUCGGGAUUGGCGCAUCGGUCGUGCCUCACGGGGUAUGAACUGGUGCAGUCAAUUUCUCACCUUCUGGAGAACCGCGAUGUCCUUAAUUGGAUGCCGCGGGGAACCAGGACCUUUACUUUGAAAAAUUAGAGUGUUUAAAGCAGGCAUUUUUGCUUGAAUACAUUAGCAUGGAAUAAUAAAAUAGGACGGCAUGGUUCUAUUUUGUUGGUUUCUAGGACCACCGUAAUGAUUAAUAGGGAUAGUUGGGGGCACUAGUAUUCAAUUGUCAGAGGUGAAAUUCUUGGAUUUAUUGAAGACUAACUACUGCGAAAGCAUUUGCCAAGGAUGUUUUCAUUAAUCAAGAACGAAAGUUAGGGAUCGAAGACGAUCAGAUACCGUCGUAGUCUUAACCAUAAACUAUGCCGACUAGGAAUCAGACGAUGUUAAUUUUUAAUGUACUU